This 371-nucleotide ribosomal RNA is filed under the name uncultured organism. RNAcentral describes it as "partial 16S ribosomal RNA". It matches the Rfam family "Bacterial small subunit ribosomal RNA", at positions 527 to 897 of the family's 1533-position model. The record is from RNAcentral.
GUAGGGUGCGAGCGUUAAUCGGAAUUACUGGGCGUAAAGCGUGCGCAGGCGGUUGUGCAAGACAGAUGUGAAAUCCCCGGGCUCAACCUGGGAAUUGCAUUUGUGACUGCACGGCUAGAGUGUGUCAGAGGGGGUAGAAUUCCACGUGUAGCAGUGAAAUGCGUAGAGAUGUGGAGGAAUACCGAUGGCGAAGGCAGCCCCCUGGGAUAACACUGACGCUCAUGCACGAAAGCGUGGGGAGCAAACAGGAUUAGAUACCCUGGUAGUCCCACGCCCCUAAACGAUGUCAACUAGUUGUCGGGUCUUAAUUGACUUGGUAACGCAGCUAACUCGUGAAGUUGACCGCCUGGGGAGUACGGUCGCAAGAUUAA